GACGAACGUUGGCGGCGUGCUUAAUACAUGCAAGUCAACUGAAGCAGUGGUAGCAAUCUCGCUGUGGAGGUGGCGCACGGGUGAGUAACACGUAGGUAAUCUGCCUUCAGGUCUGGCAUAACUCCGGGAAACCGGGGCUAAUAGCAGAUGAUGCAGCGGCUCGACAUCGAGACAGUUGUUAAAGCUAUGGCGCCUGAAGAUGAGCCUGCGUCUGAUUAGCUAGUUGGCGGGGUAACGGCCCACCAAGGCAACGAUCAGUAGCUGGUCUGAGAGGAUGAUCAGCCACACUGGAACUGAGACACGGUCCAGACUCCUACGGGAGGCAGCAGUAAGGAAUAUUGCUCAAUGGGAGAAAUCCUGAAGCAGCAACGCCGCGGGAGGGACGAAGGGCUUUUGCUUGUAAACCUCUGUAGUGAGAGAAAAAAAUCCCAAUCUUUGGGACAUGAUGGUAUCUCAAAAGUAAGCCCCGGCUAACUACGUG
This 481-nucleotide ribosomal RNA is filed under the name uncultured bacterium. RNAcentral describes it as "partial 16S ribosomal RNA". It matches the Rfam family "Bacterial small subunit ribosomal RNA", at positions 28 to 507 of the family's 1533-position model. The record is from RNAcentral.